Pelobates cultripes (western spadefoot toad) is the source of this 229-nucleotide non-coding RNA. The record is from the annotation of a GenBank genome assembly. NCBI's taxonomy places the organism in Eukaryota, Metazoa, Chordata, Amphibia, Anura, Pelobatidae.
UGUUACUGUGUCACUAUACCCCACUCCCUCUAACAUGUAAACUCACUGAGCAGGGCCCUCAAUCCCUCUGUUACUGUGUCACUAUACCCCACUCCCUCUAACAUGUAAAUUCACUGAGCAGGGCCCUCAAUCCCUCUGUUACUGUGUCACUAUACCCCACUCCCUCUAACAUGUAAAUUCACUGAGCAGGGCCCUCAAUCCCUCUGUUACUGUGUCACUAUACCCCACU